AUUUCUACUUAUUUCAAAAAACGCGGUGCUGAAGAAGUCAUAUUAUUUAUCUGUGCCACUUCUAUUUAAGUUCAGUCGGCAAAUAUAGGUCAGUCGUAUUAUCGUUCAAAACUUCAUUCGUCGUUCGUUUCCUGCUGUUGUUUUCUGUCAUUGUCAACUGACCGUCAUUGGAUUUGCGAAGUUGUUUUUGUUUUUCCUCGCCGGAAUUUCGAUUGUGAUAGCAUAGGACAAAAUGUGAAUUUAUAUUAUUGUGUCAUAUAUUAUCAUAGCGGUUCAUUGUCCUUAUAAACAUCUUAACCAUUACCAAUUCGUGUUAAUACGUUGAUUGAACAGAACGUGACAGUGACAAGAUGAUCAGCUGUUCCACAUAAUUAUUUGUAUUUCAAAAACUUUUUCGAGUUAUUGUAAUCUAAAUCAUCGAUAAUAUUUUUGUAAAUACGUUAUAAAGCUAGAUAAGUGAUAAUGUGGUCUAAUUUAGAUCAUAAGUUUAAUUUCGUUGCAUUUUUCCUGAUUUACUUUUCGGCUUCCGUUGCUACACAAGAUGCAAACAUAACAAUACCAUUGAAUGCUACACUUACAUAUGACAACAAGGAACUAUAUGGAGCCUUCGUAACACUAAACGGAGAGUCGCACGUACAAGUUAACUUUAGCGACAUUAACAAAAGUUUGAACUUCAUCGUCUUCCAGGCUCACAGCCAUUUGUUAAAUAUUUCUUUGUACACAAAUGACACGAGCGGUGAACAGGGAGUUUUUGGAACGAAUCUGGGAUUGGUCAGCUUCGUCAAAUCUGUGAAAACAUUUCAUGUAGUUAAUCCUAAUAAGAAUUUGACUGCCCGAGUGUUUAUUUCAGUUCAUGGAUAUGAGGAAUUCGAUCCGAUACCAGGAGGUUGUAAUAUGGAGUUUCCAGUUCCGAUAUCCCCGUUCAUUCGAACAUUCACAUACCCUGACUACAUCUUCAUCGACGCAGCACCACCAGCCAUGGAUGAAGAUUGUAUCGUUCCUCUAAUAAAUAGUAUGGAGUUUUAUAUGAUGUACUUGCCUGACUUGAAUUUCUAUGCUGACACUUAUUUUGAUGGCAUCAGGAAAAUGAUGACUCUCAAGAAUAUUCGGAAGUAUGGGAAACUGCUCCCGACGAGCUCUUGGCCGGAAACUCGGCGUAUGUUGAGCACAUAUCCCGGCACGGGCGCAGUUUACGCUGUGGUGGCUACGCGGGUCCUUAAGAAUGAGACACGGUACUCCGUCUACGUGCCGAACCAUAGUUACGGAUGCGCUGAUGUUAUUGAAGACGGAUGCGAUAUGAUUGAUGACUGGCUAUCACAAAUAAUGUGUGCAACACUGUUAUUUGUUGGUUUGUUCGUGUGUUUCUUUGGACAUCGAUUCUUUAAGACUGAAAUGUUCCUAGCUGGAUUCUUCAGUGGUGUCAUUAUAACUUACAUACUGAUAGCUUUGAUAGCCGCUAUCGAUAAGCCUGCUCUGCUGGGAGCAGCGGCCUUAUCUGGAGUGUUCUUCGGAGCAAUAUGGUGGUUGUUCUGGUGGCUGUACGGCAUACCUGUGCUUGCAGUACUUCUGCCUUCUUUGAACUUGGGCUUUUUGUUAGCCGCGAUAUUCUACUAUAGAUUACCAGGACACCAAAUCUACCUAGAAAUGGACUUCAAUUUCUGGAGCAUAUUCGUACUAGUGGUCAUGCUAACAGCAUUAGCCGUGGUCUCAGUAAGCUACGCAGCUAAUAUUCUAUGCUGUGCCAUCCUCGGCGCGUACGCAGCCGUGCUAUCGAUCGACUACUACUUGGGAUCACAUAUGAAGUUUAUACUGAUCAAUGUGUUCAGGAGAGCUGUUGUGCCAAAUUUCAAUAAGGCCAUUUUGGCUGCACCGUCGCCUUUUGAAUGGAGAGAUUUCACGGUAACGCUAAUAUGGGUGAUACUGGCAACACUGGGGUUCACUUUUCAACACUGGUAUAACAGAGGCAGACCUCCUUUCCCCCCACCUCCUAGGAUUGUCCGGCCUAGCAUGGAACCUACUAUGUAUGGGGCCGUUGAAUACUUCAUGAGACGCGAACGAGCAACGCCCACAACACCUGCUAGAAGAUUGCAGAACGAAAGAACUGCUCUACUAGCUUAGGUACUCGUAUGACAAUAAAAUUGAAUAAACAAAGGUAAUAUCAAAAUGGGCGACAUAAAUACUGGUCUGGCGACCCGAGGACUCAGUCUAGCGACAUGACGACUCUGUCUUGCGACUUAACAAUUCUGUCUUGCAACCUAACGAUUCUGUCUGGCCACCUGACGAUUCUGUCUGGUGACCUUACGAUUUCGUCUGGUGACCUGACGAUUCAGUCUGGUGACCUGACGAUUCAGUCUGGCGACCUAACGAUUCUGUCUGGUGAUCUUCUGAUUCCUUCUGGCGACCUAACGAUUCAGUCUAGCGACAUAGCCAUUUAGUCUCGCUACUUUGAAUUGUUCGUUUUAUCCGAUACAGUUUCUGAUCUGAAGUCGCCGAGAUGAUUUGGCAGGCCGACAUGACUAGUCUUAUUUAACUGUUCUUUUUGCUCAUAAAAAUAGUUUUUGAACUUACGUAAAUUGCAAAAGAAAAGAUCUCUUGAACAAAACCGCUUCGCACAGAUUAUAAAGACUUGUAGUUUCUAUUACCUGACUGUCAAGAAGGGUUUUGACACUAAUCUUCUAAUACUACUUACUGGCCAUAUUUCCAAAGAUAUUAAUUAAAUGUUUAAUCAACUAACUACAUUGUUAUUACAUUUUAUAUGUCUAGAUUAUGCUGUUCGACCAUUUUUGCGUAUUUUUAAGCGUUUAUCAUUUAGAUGUAACCAGUCUAUAAAAAAAUACUGAUUUGUAUGUGACAUAAAAGAGACUGAAUUUUGCAAAUUGUGGUUAAAGAAUAUUUUUUAAGACUGGGUAUGUGAAAAUGAAAACUACUUUCUAAGAAUAUAGUCAUUAGUGAAUACACCAAAAUAUGCUAAUAUAUGUACCUUUUUAUAAGAAUGCCUUGCAAUGCUCGCUUGAAAGUCCAUUUUUCUAUUUAAAAUUUAAAGGCAUAAAAACCAAAAUUAUGAUAUUUAGAUAUGAAAAAAAAUACUCUUCAAUUUAUACUCUGUACUCUAGUUUAAUCUAAGUAUGUUAAAAAAAAUAAUUCGACGAUCAAAAGGGCUUAAUAUUGUAUCAAAUUGAACAGUUAAUCGCCUUCUUAUUAAUAUGAUUAUAAGCUAAAAUUUCUUCUUCCAAUUCCAUAAUUUAUUACUGUAGCAAACAUAAGCUUAUAUUUAAAACAUAUCAUGAUAACCAGACAUAUUGUAAGACUGUAUAUCUUGUGAUUUUAUGUGUAAGUGUGGACAAGAAGUGUAAACAUUCCCAUUUAACGCUAAUACAUUUUUGUUUAAUUUUUUA
RNAcentral lists this unclassified non-coding RNA (3395 nucleotides) under Helicoverpa zea (corn earworm). RNAcentral's name for it is "transmembrane 7 superfamily member 3-like, transcript variant X1". Lineage: Eukaryota; Metazoa; Arthropoda; Insecta; Lepidoptera; Noctuidae. The record is from RNAcentral.